AAAGAGUUAGACAAAGCCCAUAGAAUUGCCAUCAGCAAACAUUUUCCUGUGUCAUAUUAGUGGGUCUCCAUGACUCCCCCUGGCCCAGGGACAAUAGCACAAGUUUGCACACUCGACUACUGUCACCCUGCCAACGCUGGCAAGGAGCAGAAACAGGACAAUCCUUUAAGGGGAAAGCAUGCCCACUGCAGGGAAGGUAAGAAGAGAGGGAAGAAAAGCAUGUGAAAUGCUAAUUGAGCUGCUUCCUUUAUUGAUUCAGAGUUAUGUGAGUCCUCAUCCUCCUUGCAGGAUUGUCCUUAGGGGUGGCAAUAACUUAAUAGCAUGCUAAACCUGGGAGUCCCACACUGUGUGCUCUCCCCACAGAGAUCUUUAAUAGCAGUGGGGGGAGAGUGAAGUUACCCUGAAUGAAUUUCAGAAAUGCUAGACAUUCAGGAAUAAAGCCAGC
This 445-nucleotide long non-coding RNA is filed under the name Podarcis lilfordi (Lilford's wall lizard). The record is from RNAcentral. Lineage: Eukaryota; Metazoa; Chordata; Lepidosauria; Squamata; Lacertidae.